Molecule: long non-coding RNA, 2842 nt
Organism: Strigops habroptila (Kakapo)
Lineage: Eukaryota; Metazoa; Chordata; Aves; Psittaciformes; Psittacidae
Exons: 2
Source: RefSeq, a predicted model, not a curated record
GGCAGGGGAUUGGAGCUGGAUGAGCUUUGAGGUCCCUUCCAAACCAAACCAGGCUGGAUUCUGUAAUUCUAUGAAUUGCUAAUCCAUGAGCUGUUCUGUUCUCGGGUAUGCUGCAUCUUGACACUUGCUUUUUAAAUACGCAUUCUAGACUUCUUCAGUGUUUGUUGACUCUGGUCUGGGGGUAGCACGUUAAAAACACGUCACCUUCCUCUCUGUGAGGGAGAGGAAAGCUCUGGUGCCUUGAUGCACCACGGCCGUGCUGCUACCACCACCCAGCCGAUGGCAGCAAGAGCUGUGUGGGGAGCAGGAGGGUUUUCCAUCGCCUCCAAAGCCCUCACUGCAGCUCCUUGGCUGGGAAGGGCAGAGGAGGGCCAGGGCCCGGCGCCUGCACUGCGGGGCCGGGCCGGGGGAUGGCAAUGUUGGUCUGGUUUUCCAGCAAGAGCAAACGGUGACAUUUCAGAGUGGUUUUGUCCCUUGAGCGGGCAUCGUCUGAGCGAUCGAGCUGAGAGAAAAGGUUGGGACUGGUCCGUGGCAGGACCAGAAGAGGAUGGGGAGGGGAAAUGCUGGAGCUGGGGAAGGAGUUUCUGCAUCAUUUGGGAAAACGCAGCGGAGCUGGAAAUACUGUGACAGGAGGAAAUGCUGCUGGUUGCCCAGCUAGAUUUUUUCCACCGUGAGUCUGUUACCUUGAAUAUAUGAAGUAUGCUCAUUUUCCAGUGCCUGGGUAGUUCUUAAAGUAUCAGUUUAAGUACUGGAACAUUCAUGAUUAAAAUUUCUGGAGUGCUUGAGAAGUAGUUCACUUCUGUAACUAUUACUUUAAAAGAUGGUAAAGAAUGUCUAUUGUAGAAGGCACAUCCUGUGUUAGAGUGGGCUCAUCACCGUGGAAAAAGUGGAAAGGGAAACCAAUGGGAAAGAGAAGUUGUUAUAAUGCAGGAUAUAUCUAUCCUCUAUAGUGUAGAGUCUCCUACGUGGAAGAAACUUUGUUCUUUUGGUUUUAAGCUUCUUUAUUCCAAAAGGAUGACACCUAUUCUGUACGGACACAAACCAGCUCAAAAAGCUGCUCCAAGGACUUGGUUUUUUUAUCUUUUAAAAACAGGAUUACUGUUUUGUUAAUCUGAUUAUGAAUCUGAACUGUGUGGGCCUGUCACUUGGGCUCUCUCUGGCUGGUCUGGGUGCUAAUCUCACUGGAGUGGCUGGGAUGGGAGCACGGAGACAGAGCACACACGAUGUGCAUCCUCUUCAGAUGACCCUUCAGAAUAUUUCCUCAAGCAAUCCCACAUGGCAGAGAAACCAUGUGUAUAAAAAUGCUUUUAUACUUGCAUACAGUGUUAUAUGAGCAAAAUACCGUGCCUUUUAAUAUACAGUAGAAUUAAAGUGCCAACUAUUUACUAAGAGCUGUGUUAAUGGGGGAAGGCACUUAAAUGUGAUUAUGCAGUAUGACCUUUCUCUGCCAACCAGAUUAAGAACAUACUCUAGGCAGGUAAUGCCAAGGUUAUAACUCAGCUGGAAGAACUAAACCAUCCUCUUCCCUUAAUCUGCCUUUUCCUCCCCCCCCUGCUUUUUUUCCUAUAGUGGAAACAGCAGCUGCUUUAUGCAAGAACAGAGGAGGAGGCAGGAGCAGUAAAGGGACAUUUGCCCACCUAACACUUUGGAACCUUGAUGUCUCAGACUUAGAGCUGGUGUGAUCUCAUCCAGCAGCAGCCGCAUGAACUCUGAACGUGCCUCCUCUCCAGGUUGAAUCCUGACUCCUAGAAAGCACCUUUUCCUUCUCCUGCCAUUCCUUGAGUGCUCUCUGCUCACCUCCUGCCUGGGGCGAGGCCCUGGUCUAUAAAGGAGGUGUAGGGAGGUGAGAAGGUGCCAAAGGAGAACCGCGGGCAGAGGAGCUCUAACACGGGAGCGUGCAGCUCCGCUUCAUCGUUUCCAUGUGUGCUAAGUCGUGCAAAGCUUUCAGUUCUGAUGACUAACUUCUUUUCUUCAUGGGAAGAAGCCAACUGACAGCUCCUCAGCCUCAACCCUUCUCUCUUUUAUUGCCUUUUAACCACACUAGCUCUGCCUUUUCCUGCAAUUCAUAGGCCACUGGCUUUCCCUUGAAUCAGGAGAUUUUUAGUGCUGAUUUGGAGCGCACUGAGAGUAAUCCUGUUCCUGCUCACGAAGUUGCCACAUCUCCCUCUCUUGGAAAGGAGUGGCCUCACUUCUAGUUUUAGCUUCAACAUCUGUCCAUGUCCUGUAUUUCAGGACCUGAUGAUCGAGCUUGGAGGGGAGAAGCAGAGUUUGAGGUUCCUUUUGAAGAAGCUUUUUAUAGUGGAAUAAAAGAUCCAUGAGUUCAGAGUGGCAGAGGCUGAGGAUAACUCCAGACUUGGCAGAAAGGGAUCAGGGCACCAGUAGUUAGAAAUAAUAGUGAAGCUUUGCAAAUCCUGGGAAGUAGAAAGGAAUUCCGGUAGUGGUUUGGGGGGGAUUUCCCCAUAUGGAAGGGAUGGAAAGGAUAGUACAGCAGAAAAGGGUUUCUUGGUGUAAAGAGCAGUUUGGGAUUAUUUUACUAGGGACGAAUUGAAGUGGAUCAUGGGUGACACUCGCUGUUCUCAGAGGAAGGUCCCAGAAAGGCAAAGCUCUGGCUUUGUCAGAGCAAACGUGGGCAAUGAAAGGAGACCUCCUGCUCUUCUUUCCUGUUAAUUGCUUGUAUUUCUUCUCUAGUUUCUAUUACACCUUGUUUUUGUUUAAUGCCAUAAGUUGUGGUGGCACUUCCCUUGUGUUAUUCAUUGCUCCUGACAUCACCCUUGUUCAUCGGUGCUGACCUCUGUAUGAGGAUUGCACCAUCACAAGAGCAAUAAAACACCCCAAAAAAGCA